This is a non-coding RNA of Acyrthosiphon pisum (pea aphid), 46 nucleotides long. The record is from Rfam. NCBI's taxonomy places the organism in Eukaryota, Metazoa, Arthropoda, Insecta, Hemiptera, Aphididae.
CAAAAGGCCCUUUUCAGGGCCAACCAUGACGAUGAUAUCCAUAAAU